AUGUCCAUGGAGAUUGGAAGCAACCACCACCACCACCACCAGGGGGACGAGACUGGCGAUCUAAUGAAGCCGGACUCAGAAUACCCGCCGGGGCUGCUGCGAGGAGGAGCACCUGCCACGAACCGGCGGCAGUUCCAGAAGGCCAUUCCGGCGCCCGUUAUGUCAUUCAGGCAGCCCACCGCCGACACGCCGAUGCCCCAUCAUCAGGCGCAGCUCCGGUUCCACGGCCGCCACGGCGGAUCCAGGCCGCCGUUCAAUUCGCCUGGGAGCAACCCUAGUGCCGCCGAUGGCGUCGCGUCCAGAAAUCAGCAGCGUUCCACCGCCAUCGGUGCCGCCGUGUCCAGGUCCGCGGUUGGCGUCUACGCACCAACCCGGAGCAUACGGAAUCCAAAGUCAACACUAAUGACUAUGUUCUACGACGGCGCCGUCAACGUGUUCGACGUCCCGGUGGACAAGGCCCAGGAGAUUAUGGUUUUAGCAGGCAGGGCUUCUGUUUCAAGCCCACCCAGUGCAGUCCAGAAGCCUGAUUUUCCUGCCCCGGCCAAUACAUCAGGAUUUCCGGUGCCCGGGGCGAGGAAGAUUAUAAUUCAGAAACCAGGAGAGACCAUGGCACCUCAUGUAUCAGUCAUUUCAAGUCCGAUCCCCGUCGUGUCACAAUCUCCGACGAUCUCCAAGAGCACGCCAGGCUACCAAAAUUGCACUCCAGCUCCGACGACAUACUCAGGCAUACCAUCAUUAGUUGUUCCGCCGCUAAGUAAUGCACCCUCAGCUCAACGGAUGCAACAAGCAUCUACUGCUGUUGCAGCAGCUAUUAAGCCAAUUGCUGUCCAUCAAUCUCGGAAAGCAUCUCUAGCCCGAUUCUUGGAGAAGCGGAAAGACAGAGUUUCAAGUGUCACGCCAUACUCAUUGCCAAAGAGCCCGCUAGCGAGCACCGGUACCUUGGGCAGUGCGAGCACUGCAAGCAAGUUAUCUCGUGCAGACAUUGCUCCAUCCGGCAACAAUUGCCACGAGUCUAUGAGCAUGGACAUGUACAAUGAUGAUAGCUUAGCAAUGUCCCGUAGGGUGGUUAUUGAGUUGGAAUAA
This 1083-nucleotide ribosomal RNA is filed under the name Triticum aestivum (bread wheat). RNAcentral describes it as "partial small subunit ribosomal RNA". The record is from RNAcentral. Lineage: Eukaryota; Viridiplantae; Streptophyta; Magnoliopsida; Poales; Poaceae.